AAAGUAAGCAUGCACUUUUAGUUAGUUAUAUGAUAUAGUUUAUUUUUGCUGUCUUUUUCUUAGAAGUAUUUUAUUCAUGUUGUCAAGUUUAGAUGUUGCUUUUAUUCAUUUCUCGCCAUGAAAAUGGCAUGAAGUAUCAACCUGAAACUUCACGUUCAGUAAAUCUCUUUGAUAUAUUAAAAGGACCUUGGGCUGUAGACUCCAUUAAUGUUUCUGUUUUGCUCUUAGCUUCCUCACUGGGCCUGUGAUUUAUCGCCGCAGCGUGUUGGAACUGUGGACAGAGGGUCAUUUGCUUUCCUCCUGUCCUCCCCAGUGCACCCACCUGUACGCUACCGCUAUUCCUCCAGAGAACAAAAGCUCUCCGUAACAGAGGACAACACCAAGUACAUCUCCCUCACUGAGUUUAACACGACACGCCUGCAGGCAGCCAGUCAGGAUGGUACAAUGGUGCCUUUGACUCUCCUCCGCAUGCAGGCAUUAUCUGAGCUGCAUAAGGCUCCACUGCUCAUGCAUGUAUAUGGAGCUUAUGGUGUUGAACUCAAUAUGGCCUUCAGUCCUGAGAAGAGACUGCUGCUGGAGGACGGCUGGGCUCUGGCCUACUGCCAUGUCAGGGGUGGUAGUGAGCGUGGUCUAGCGUGGCGUCAAGCGGGUUCUGUGCUACAGAAGCGGAGGGGAGUGGAAGAUCUUGCUGCCUGCAUUUACUCUUCAUCACUUGGAAGUGUCUCAUCCUGCUCUUACCGCCCUCACUGCUCGCAGUGCUGGAGCUGUCCUAGCGGGGGUGCUGUGCAACCAUAACCCACAAGCUUCUUAAAGCUGUAACUCUACAGGCACCUUUUCUGGAUGUUCUUGGCACAAUGCAAGACCCUUCCUUGCCGCUUACUGUAGAGGAGAGAGGGGAGUGUGGAGACCCCCUUAUAAGAGAACACAUUGCCUCUUAUUGUCCCUGUCACAAUAUUAUACCUCAGCUUUACCCAUCCAUGUUGAUCACUGCAUACUCAGAGGACCGUAGAGUUUUUUUAACUGGGGUCAUGAAGUAUGUGGAAAGCCUAAAGAAGGUCAUCCAAGUGUGUACCACUCGGGUCAGUGUUAACGUCGCUUUGGAUAAAAGUGUUUGCUCACAUCCAGC
This is a long non-coding RNA of Sinocyclocheilus grahami, 1126 nucleotides long. RefSeq lists it as uncharacterized. The record is from RefSeq and is a predicted model, not a curated record. NCBI's taxonomy places the organism in Eukaryota, Metazoa, Chordata, Actinopteri, Cypriniformes, Cyprinidae. The transcript has 6 exons.